This 2927-nucleotide ribosomal RNA is filed under the name Escherichia coli. Its description in RNAcentral is "23S ribosomal RNA". It matches the Rfam family "Bacterial large subunit ribosomal RNA". Lineage: Bacteria; Pseudomonadati; Pseudomonadota; Gammaproteobacteria; Enterobacterales; Enterobacteriaceae. The record is from RNAcentral.
GGGUUGUGAGGUUAAGCGACUAAGCGUACACGGUGGAUGCCCUGGCAGUCAGAGGCGAUGAAGGACGUGCUAAUCUGCGAUAAGCGUCGGUAAGGUGAUAUGAACCGUUAUAACCGGCGAUUUCCGAAUGGGGAAACCCAGUGUGAUUCGUCACACUAUCAUUAACUGAAUCCAUAGGUUAAUGAGGCGAACCGGGGGAACUGAAACAUCUAAGUACCCCGAGGAAAAGAAAUCAACCGAGAUUCCCCCAGUAGCGGCGAGCGAACGGGGAGGAGCCCAGAGCCUGAAUCAGUGUGUGUGUUAGUGGAAGCGUCUGGAAAGGCGCGCGAUACAGGGUGACAGCCCCGUACACAAAAAUGCACAUGCUGUGAGCUCGAUGAGUAGGGCGGGACACGUGGUAUCCUGUCUGAAUAUGGGGGGACCAUCCUCCAAGGCUAAAUACUCCUGACUGACCGAUAGUGAACCAGUACCGUGAGGGAAAGGCGAAAAGAACCCCGGCGAGGGGAGUGAAAAAGAACCUGAAACCGUGUACGUACAAGCAGUGGGAGCACAGAGCAAUCUGUGUGACUGCGUACCUUUUGUAUAAUGGGUCAGCGACUUAUAUUCUGUAGCAAGGUUAACCGAAUAGGGGAGCCGAAGGGAAACCGAGUCUUAACUGGGCGUUAAGUUGCAGGGUAUAGACCCGAAACCCGGUGAUCUAGCCAUGGGCAGGUUGAAGGUUGGGUAACACUAACUGGAGGACCGAACCGACUAAUGUUGAAAAAUUAGCGGAUGACUUGUGGCUGGGGGUGAAAGGCCAAUCAAACCGGGAGAUAGCUGGUUCUCCCCGAAAGCUAUUUAGGUAGCGCCUCGUGAAUUCAUCUCCGGGGGUAGAGCACUGUUUCGGCAAGGGGGUCAUCCCGACUUACCAACCCGAUGCAAACUGCGAAUACCGGAGAAUGUUAUCACGGGAGACACACGGCGGGUGCUAACGUCCGUCGUGAAGAGGGAAACAACCCAGACCGCCAGCUAAGGUCCCAAAGUCAUGGUUAAGUGGGAAACGAUGUGGGAAGGCCCAGACAGCCAGGAUGUUGGCUUAGAAGCAGCCAUCAUUUAAAGAAAGCGUAAUAGCUCACUGGUCGAGUCGGCCUGCGCGGAAGAUGUAACGGGGCUAAACCAUGCACCGAAGCUGCGGCAGCGACGCUUAUGCGUUGUUGGGUAGGGGAGCGUUCUGUAAGCCUGUGAAGGUGUACUGUGAGGUAUGCUGGAGGUAUCAGAAGUGCGAAUGCUGACAUAAGUAACGAUAAAGCGGGUGAAAAGCCCGCUCGCCGGAAGACCAAGGGUUCCUGUCCAACGUUAAUCGGGGCAGGGUGAGUCGACCCCUAAGGCGAGGCCGAAAGGCGUAGUCGAUGGGAAACAGGUUAAUAUUCCUGUACUUGGUGUUACUGCGAAGGGGGGACGGAGAAGGCUAUGUUGGCCGGGCGACGGUUGUCCCGGUUUAAGCGUGUAGGCUGGUUUUCCAGGCAAAUCCGGAAAAUCAAGGCUGAGGCGUGAUGACGAGGCACUACGGUGCUGAAGCAACAAAUGCCCUGCUUCCAGGAAAAGCCUCUAAGCAUCAGGUAACAUCAAAUCGUACCCCAAACCGACACAGGUGGUCAGGUAGAGAAUACCAAGGCGCUUGAGAGAACUCGGGUGAAGGAACUAGGCAAAAUGGUGCCGUAACUUCGGGAGAAGGCACGCUGAUAUGUAGGUGAAGUCCCUCGCGGAUGGAGCUGAAAUCAGUCGAAGAUACCAGCUGGCUGCAACUGUUUAUUAAAAACACAGCACUGUGCAAACACGAAAGUGGACGUAUACGGUGUGACGCCUGCCCGGUGCCGGAAGGUUAAUUGAUGGGGUUAGCGCAAGCGAAGCUCUUGAUCGAAGCCCCGGUAAACGGCGGCCGUAACUAUAACGGUCCUAAGGUAGCGAAAUUCCUUGUCGGGUAAGUUCCGACCUGCACGAAUGGCGUAAUGAUGGCCAGGCUGUCUCCACCCGAGACUCAGUGAAAUUGAACUCGCUGUGAAGAUGCAGUGUACCCGCGGCAAGACGGAAAGACCCCGUGAACCUUUACUAUAGCUUGACACUGAACAUUGAGCCUUGAUGUGUAGGAUAGGUGGGAGGCUUUGAAGUGUGGACGCCAGUCUGCAUGGAGCCGACCUUGAAAUACCACCCUUUAAUGUUUGAUGUUCUAACGUUGACCCGUAAUCCGGGUUGCGGACAGUGUCUGGUGGGUAGUUUGACUGGGGCGGUCUCCUCCUAAAGAGUAACGGAGGAGCACGAAGGUUGGCUAAUCCUGGUCGGACAUCAGGAGGUUAGUGCAAUGGCAUAAGCCAGCUUGACUGCGAGCGUGACGGCGCGAGCAGGUGCGAAAGCAGGUCAUAGUGAUCCGGUGGUUCUGAAUGGAAGGGCCAUCGCUCAACGGAUAAAAGGUACUCCGGGGAUAACAGGCUGAUACCGCCCAAGAGUUCAUAUCGACGGCGGUGUUUGGCACCUCGAUGUCGGCUCAUCACAUCCUGGGGCUGAAGUAGGUCCCAAGGGUAUGGCUGUUCGCCAUUUAAAGUGGUACGCGAGCUGGGUUUAGAACGUCGUGAGACAGUUCGGUCCCUAUCUGCCGUGGGCGCUGGAGAACUGAGGGGGGCUGCUCCUAGUACGAGAGGACCGGAGUGGACGCAUCACUGGUGUUCGGGUUGUCAUGCCAAUGGCACUGCCCGGUAGCUAAAUGCGGAAGAGAUAAGUGCUGAAAGCAUCUAAGCACGAAACUUGCCCCGAGAUGAGUUCUCCCUGACUCCUUGAGAGUCCUGAAGGAACGUUGAAGACGACGACGUUGAUAGGCCGGGUGUGUAAGCGCAGCGAUGCGUUGAGCUAACCGGUACUAAUGAACCGUGAGGCUUAACCUUACAACGCCGAAG